Molecule: long non-coding RNA, 353 nt
Filed under: Gallus gallus (chicken)
Lineage: Eukaryota; Metazoa; Chordata; Aves; Galliformes; Phasianidae
Description: lncRNA (ENSGALG00010023934.1)
Source: RNAcentral
CAGCGGUUCUGGUCACUCAGGUGCAUUCCAUGCAGCUGAGCUCCCCUGGGUUGGCCCUACCUUCCCACCAGCAUAGGUCCAUUGUAGCAGAAAUGCUGUUGAAGUCCCUCAGAAUGAAAGCCCUGCCUCCCUGUGCCCCUCAUUUGGUGCCAUUUACAAGCUUGUAGGGGGCACAGUUCAUCCCAUCAACCACACAGAAGUUUGAGAGUCCAUCUCCUAUCUCAGAAUGGUGACUACAGAGAUGAGUUAAUGGUUUGCACUGGAUGCGAUGGGUAUGCUGUGUGUUUGAGUUCCUUCAUGCUGAGUGUGCCAAUAAGAAGUUUUCUGUAUGGUACUCUUAAGGAAUAAUGGUG